This 2005-nucleotide small RNA is filed under the name Pan troglodytes (chimpanzee). RNAcentral describes it as "processed transcript". Lineage: Eukaryota; Metazoa; Chordata; Mammalia; Primates; Hominidae. The record is from RNAcentral.
GAAGCUGCAAGUGCUGAGGCGCGGUGGAGGAAAGCAUGGGAGCCAAGAGUAUGAGGAGCUGGUGUCUGUGUCAGAUUUGUAGCUGCGGGUAAGAAACGGCUGGUGUAGCGGCGGGCCCGGGCUUGGGAGCCGACCUAGGGCCUAGGUGCACGGAGCCGGCUCCUCGGGAACCCUGAGAGUGGCCGUCCCCCGGAGAUGAAGGGACGAGGGCGCAGCGACAUCCCCACUUAUCCCGCUCCGCGAAUACUCGCUCCGCACCCGCCUGCUACCCGGGGGUAAAAUGUUUGUUCGUAGCCCCUGAGACUCCCAAUCAAGGAUGCAAAGUAAAAUGCCACCCGGGCCAGGUCGGAUUAUUGUCCUUAUGAAAUAGUUAAACAGCCUCGCCAUGUGCCAGAAGAAUAUAAACCAAAACAAGGGAAGAUCGAUCUUGGUACUACCUACAAACGGGAUUUUAAUUCGUAUAAAGUGCAGCCUGUGGCAAUAGUCCGGCCUUUGGAGAGACAAGUUAAAAAAGGAAAAUUGGACACUGUCCCAACCUAUAAAGACGAUUAUAGAGCUUGGGACCUUCAUAAAAGUGAACUUUAUAAGCCAGAACGAACUUACCACCCCCAUACUGUGAAAUUUGGAAAUUCAUCUACAUUCCAGGAUGACUUUGUUCCUCAGGAGAUAAAGCCUAGGCAAAGCUUUAAACCCUCCUCUGUGGUCAAACGUUCUACAGCCCCUUUUAAUGGUAUUACAAGUCAUCGCCUUGAUUAUAUACCUCAUCAGCUUGAACUCAAGUUUGAAAGGCCAAAAGAAGUUUACAAACCAACUGACCAAUGCUUUGAGGAUCUCACAACUCACCGGUGUGACUUUCAGGGUCUCAUUGGUGAAACUGCAAAACUCUGCAGACCUGUACACACCAGAGUGACCCAGAAUGCUCGGUUUGAAGGAAGCACUGAAUUCCGUGAAAGUUUUCAACCAUGGGAAAUCCCACCACCUGAGGUCAAGAAAGUACCAGAGUAUGUGCCUCCUACAGGUAGCAUGCUGUUAAACAGCACAAGCCAUCUUGACUAUGUUCCAUAUCAGGCCAACCAUGUUGUUCCCAUCAGGCCAGUUUCUCAAAAAAGAAGUAACAAUUUUCCUUUCCAAGGAAAAAGCACCAUGAAAGAAGAUUUUCCAGCAUGGGAAAGUUGUCGUCAAGGACUUAUUAAGAAGCAGCAGCAGAUUCCCAACCCAUCUGGAAAAUUUGAUGGUUUGAGCACUUUCAGAUCUCACUAUGUGCCACAUGAAUUGAUCCCAACAGAGAGUUGCAAACCUUUAAAUAUUGCUUUUAAGAGUUCCGUUCCAUUUGAUGAUGUAACCACGUACUCUGUAGAAUACACACCGAAAAGACAGGAAAUUUGCCCAGCCAGCUAUCCCUCUCCUCCAGGUUAUAUUUUUGACAAUACAAAUUCCCAAGGUCAUAAAUUCUUCCGCAAGAUUAUUCCCGCAGUGAAGGCCUUCUAAUAACCAAAAUGUGCUUAAAAGGAAGGUACUAGCAAGUUGUUGUUUUUCCAAGAGAAAACUCAAUUUUUAUAGUUAAAAAAUUUAUGAUAUAAUAAAUCAUUUUUUAUAUUUUUAAACAAGAAAAUUGGAAAAUGUAUUAUAAGAAAUCAGAAUCUUAAAACCAUUUUUUAUUGAUAUUUUAAUCAAGAUUGUUCUUUAAUGUGCAUUUCAGAAGGUUGAAUAAUAUACAUUCCCAUGUGAACUAUUUUAGUAUUCAACAUACUGCUUAGUAGCUUGUCCUCAGUCUAUUAUCAUUUGUAAUUCUGUUUAUAAUUAUGGCAAUUGUAUGGUUAUUCACAUACCAGUUGUCAUUUAUCAAGCACAUCAGGAUUAUCUAGAACAACAUUGAAAAUGAUACAUGGAUUCCUCUUCCAAGGCAACAGGAUUCAUUAUACUCAGACCUCACGGCAUCUACAUAGCAUCCACUGAAUCAAGUUUUAGUUGGUGGUAUACAGACAGCUGCACUGCUCCUCACCAU